This 813-nucleotide long non-coding RNA is filed under the name Marmota monax (woodchuck). The record is from RNAcentral. Lineage: Eukaryota; Metazoa; Chordata; Mammalia; Rodentia; Sciuridae.
GAGUUCGAUUAAUUUCUCUUCCAGUAAGUGGAGCUGUGCCCACUGGGUCAAGCUUCUCCUCUCACUAGGUGGGAACCAAUCACUGUGUAGCAGCUCUUCCUCACAGACUGGGCGGGUCUCCAAUCCUGAGUGCCUAGGGCCUUCUCUUGUGUUUCCUCAAGCCAGGCCGUGCUCUCCUGUGACGCUCACCACAAUACUGGCUACACGCCAUGUCUGCUGCUCCUGGGAGCCCUGUCGCGCUGGUUUCAAUGCAGUUAUCUCCUCCGCCCGUGACAUCAGUUCUCUGCCAUGGUGGUAUCCCAUGCAAAUGGUGACCGUUCGUUCCCUUUGCCGGGUGACCAAUGCAACGGGUGGGUCCUGACUGUCUCUCCCAAUCCCCGUUUCAGUCCUGUGGCCACUGCCUAUGAAGGCUCGGUUGGUUUUUACCUCUGAAAGUUCCUAAGGGCCAACCAGUUAUUUCAGCGGGAUCGUUAGUGCUGAGUCACGAGAAGCAGGCGAACCGGAGCUUGAAUGCAGCCUAUCCGGGCUCGGUGUGUGUGUUCUGAGGGGCCCAGACUGUACACCCCAGAUCCACAUCAGCUCAGCAUUGCCUAGUGAUCCUGAGCAAACAGCAUUUAGACAAUUUACAGCUCCCUAUACCCGCGCAGUUGAAGAGGUCAGAGACUUGAUGUCUUCCCGCCCGCUGCCAUGUUAGAUCUUCUCAAUGAUAUUCAUGUUGCCCUUACAGCUUCCUGGCAUAAGCAAGUUCUUGGGAUUAUACAAACUGCUGCUUCUGUUUCCAGUCCAGAUUUCUAGAAAUUAAACCAUGCUGCC